UACGUAGGGGGCAAGCGUUGUCCGGAUUUAUUGGGCGUAAAGGGCACGCAGGCGGUCUUUUAAGUCAGCAGUGACAGGUGGGGGCUCAACUCCCACAGGACUGGUGAAACUGGAAGACUUGAGGACGAGAGAGGGAUGGGGAAUUCCAGGUGGAGCGGUGAAAUGCGUAGAGAUCUGGAAGAACACCAAAGGCGAAGGCAGCAUCCUGGCUCACUCCUGACGCUCAUGUGCGAAAGCUAGGGGAGCGAACGGG
This 253-nucleotide ribosomal RNA is filed under the name uncultured prokaryote. RNAcentral describes it as "partial 16S ribosomal RNA". It matches the Rfam family "Bacterial small subunit ribosomal RNA", at positions 524 to 776 of the family's 1533-position model. The record is from RNAcentral.